Cyprinus carpio carpio is the source of this 1048-nucleotide long non-coding RNA. NCBI's taxonomy places the organism in Eukaryota, Metazoa, Chordata, Actinopteri, Cypriniformes, Cyprinidae. The record is from Ensembl.
CGCAUAUGGCCCUCUCAUUCUACUGACAGCAGCUACAUUGCUCCACCACAAAUCCCAGCAGCUGCUGCAUCCCAGUAUAUCAGGGGCCCACACGAGACCAUAAAAAGAAAAUGUAGGGAGGAACAGGUGGGAACUGGGAGGAGGCUCAGGAGGAGGACGUAUACCCGGUAAGGGGCCGGGAGAAAGGGUCAAGGGAGGUGACGACGGAGAGAGGAGCCAAGAAGGAAACACAAGGAGCAAGGGCAGAUCAAACGGGGGAAGGAGCCAGGGAGAUGACAGGAGGAACUUGGAGCAUAUGCCGCCAGUUUGGACCCAAGCCACAGCCAUAAUGGCGACCCACAGUGGAGCCGAUCGAGGGAGGAGCCAUGGAGGAGGAAGGGCUGAUGACUCCAGGAGGCCGACCAACAGCGGCGGAGCAGGUGGCGGAGGAGCCCAAGACGGAGAGCCAAUGAGUCAGGGUGACGGGGAGGAUCCGGAGGGCAGAGGUGGAGCAGAUGGAUCUGGCGACCGUGGCGGAGGCGGGGAUCUAGAAGACCACGGUGGAGCCGGAGCGACAGAGGAUUGUGGAGGAGCCGAAGGAUGGAGGAACCUGACAGAGCCGGAAGGACGAGGCGCAGCCGGAGCAGUGGAGUCCUGAUAACGAGGGAAUUGGGAGGAACACAGCCACCAGAUCCAGUCUGUAUGCAGAUCAGAGGGUCACUGCAGUCACCCGGAUCCAGUAUGUAUCCAGCCCAGAUGGUGGAUCAGCACCUAGAGAGGCACUCUACAGCCCUGAAAGACAGCGGAGACCAGGACAACUAGAGCCCCAGAGACAGAUCUCCUGUAAAGACCUUGUCUCAGACGAUCACCGGGACAAGAUCAUAGGAAACAGAUGAUUGUUCUGCACAAUCUGACUUUGCUGCAGCCUGGAAUUGAACUGCUGGUUUCGUCUGGUCAGAGGAGAACUGGCCCCCCGACUGAGCCUGGUUUCUCCCAAGGUUUUUUCUCCCAAGAGUUUUGGUUCCUUGCCGCUGUCACCUCUGGCUUGCUUAGUUGGGGACACUUAAUU